RNAcentral lists this long non-coding RNA (2964 nucleotides) under Homo sapiens (human). RNAcentral describes it as "non-protein coding lnc-NADSYN1-2:3". Lineage: Eukaryota; Metazoa; Chordata; Mammalia; Primates; Hominidae. The record is from RNAcentral.
AAUAAAACAGAAGGCAGGAUUGUUCGGAGAUGCCGGAUGGCAGCCAUGAGAAAGACCCCACUGGUCUGAGAGGUCUGUGCAGGAAUGCACGGAGCCUGGGAAACACAGAGAGGUAUGGGGCCUGAGGGUGAGGACGCAGGACAGGUUAGGGACGGGUGGCGCUGGGUGCUGGCUCUGGCAGAGAGCAAGCCAACUGGGGGCAUUUCUUUCCAGCCCCGUGGCUGAUGGUCUCGCCGUGCGUGAUGGUGAAUUUUAUGUGUCGCCUUGAUGGGACCUUGGGGGUGCUCAGACAUUUGGUCAAGCCUCUGUGUUUGCGAGGAUGUUUCUGGAUGGGACUAGCAUUCAAAUCUGCAGACCGAGGCAAGCAGAGUGUCCUCCCCGCAGAAGGUGGGCCUCACCUCAUCCAUCAGGGGCCUGAAUAGAAUAAAAAGUUGAAGAGGAGAGAAUUAUUUGCCUCUGCCUGUCUUCAAGGUGGAACCAUAGGUCUUCUCCUGCCUUUGGACUUAGACUCAGCAGAAAGAGCACCUCCCCUGGCCAAUGCUUUUGGCAGGAUUCCAGAAUGUGCACUCCUGGAGCCCUGGACCACGGCUGGCUUGGUUCCAGCCCAUCUGUGACCAUCUCUCCUAGGAUGCUGGGAUGUUCUGUGGGGCCAAGCUAGGGCUACUUGCCUACUUCUGCUGCAAGGGAGGGGUCAGCCCCAUGGGAACCAUAAGUGUGGGGAUUGGGGCAGCCUGAUUCUCUAGGAAGAACUGCUGCCCUCUUUCUAGGAAAAAGGAGAAGGGAUUUCAGGCAGCCCAAGCUAACAGAGGCCUGCUGUGCACUUGUGUGUUCUGAGCACUGGCUAGGAAGUGCAGGGCUUCCAAGAAGACCUAAAAUUCAUGAGAACCAAGACAAGGCAGUGAAGGUGUGAUCCUGAUAAAAGGUGACCAAGACAAGGCAGUGAACGUGUCAUCCUGAUAAAAGCCAUCCCAUUUUCCACAGGGGCCGCACCGUUUUACAUCCCCACCCACAGUGUGCAAGGGUUCCAGUUUCUCCAUGGCCUCGCUGACACUUGUUAUUCUCCACCUCGUUGACAGUAGCCAUCCUGAGGAGUGUGAGGUGGUGCUGUGUGUUAUUCUCCACCUCAUUGACAGUAGCCAUCCUGAGGAGUGUGAGGUGGUGCUGUGUGUUAUUCUCCACCUCAUUGACAGUAGCCAUCCUGAGGAGUGUGAGGUGGUGCUGUGUGUUAUUCUCCACCUCGUUGACAGUAGCCAUCCUGAGGAGUGUGAGGUGGUGCUGUGUGUUACUUUUACUUGUCUCCAUGCAGCUAAGGGCACGCCAGUGCACGCCUAAUGCAGGCGGGGUGACACCUGCACAGUUCCAUCUGCUGCUUCACGACGUGUUGCUAACUCAGUCGCCGACCACUGGACUCUGGGCUGCUCCAUUCCUAACUUCCACAGUGUUGAUGGAUACCGAUGCAAGCCCUUCUGGGGAAGACACAGUGAGAGCCUCUCUCAGCCAUGCAUUCCUCAGCCUGACUGCAAGGUCGCAGCCCCCUACAAAGCCCAGUCUGAGUGCUUCCCAGGCUGCCAUGUGCCAGGUCUCCCUCCCACGGCUGUCCUGGAAGGCUCUGCUUUGCACCAACUUGCCAGCACUUGGCAUUAGUCAACCCUCUAGCUUUUACCAAUCUGAUGGGUGUAAAGGGAAUUCCUGCGUUUUACUUUGCAUUUCUCUGAUUCCUGUGGGUUUGAGCAGCUCUUCAUUGAAUUGUGUGUCAUUUGCACUUUCCCUUCUGGGAAUUGUCUGUUGGGGUUGGCUUUCUGUCAACUUAAACAGGAGCAAACUUGGUUACUUUUAAUUAAAAGCAGGCUCGUGGCAGCAGGGGAGUUUUACAUGCAUAGGAAGGUCAGGUCCAGCCCUGCCCAUCUUCGUGCAUACUCUCUCUUUGGUCACUGCUGUGCGGCAUGGUGAGCUUGGCACCUGGCCUUCAGAAUGCAGCCACAGAAGGGAGUUCAUGGGCUAGGCAUUCUGCUAAGGGACACAGCUGUCUCUGGCUCCUGCAUCCAAUUACUGGACUCUCUGCUUCAUUGCUCUGGUGGAGCUGCCAGCCUGAGUCUCCACAUGUUCUUUCAACACUCCCUUGGUGGCCAGCCCAGUGUGCUUUUAAUCAUUGACAAGCAAGAGGAUGCCACAGAGAAGGAUGUUGGCUGCUGUUCAGGCAUUUGGGGACUGGCAGGGAGGGCUGCUGUCCACGACGGAGGAUGCCACAAGUGGAUUCAAGACUGAGUUUUUUGUUUUUCUAUCCAUCAACUCAAGCAUUUGUUAUUUUGUUUGUGUUACACAUAGUCCAAUUAUACUCUUUUAGCUAUUUUUAAAUGUACAAUAAAUUUUUAUUGAUUCUAGUCACCCUGUUGUGCUAUCAAAUGCUAGAUCUUAUUCAUUCUAAUUAUAUUUUUGUACCCAUUAGCCAUCCCCUUUCUCUCCUUCCCACCCCCCAACUACCCUUUGCAGCAUCUGGUAACCAUCAUUCUACUCUCUAUCUCCAUGAGUUCAAUUGUUUUCGUUUUUAGCUCCCACAAAUAACUGAGAACAUUUGAAGUUUGUCUUUCUGUGCCUGGCUAAUUUCGCUUAACAUAAUGACCUCCAGUUCCAUCCAUGCUGUUGCAAAUGGCAGGAUCUCAUUAUUUUUAUGACUGAAUAGUACUCCACUGUGUAAACGCACUGCAUUUUCUUUAUCCGUUCCUCUGUCAAUGGACACUUAGGUUGCUCCCAAAUCUUGGCUUUUGUGAACAGUGUUGCAAUAAACAUGGCAGUACAAAUAUCUUUUCGAUAUACUAAUAUCCAUUCUUUGGGGUAUAUACCUAGUAAUGGGAAUGCUGGAUCAUAUAGCAGCUCUAUUUUUAGUUUUUUGAGACACCACCAAACUGUUCUUCACAGUGGCUGUACUAAUUUACUUUUCCACCAAUAGUGUACGAGAGUUCCCUA